GAAAUGCGAUAAGUAAUGUGAAUUGCAGAAUUCAGUGAAUCAUCGAAUCUUUGAACGCACAUUGCGCCCGCCAGUAUUCUGGCAGGCAUGCCUGUCCGAGCGUCAUUUCAACCAUCAAGCCCCCGGGCUUGUGUUGGGGACCUGCGGCUGCCCGCAGGCCCUGAAAACCAGUGGCGGGCUCGCUGUCACACCGAGCGUAGUAGCAAUCACCUCGCUCAGGGCGUGCUGCGGGUUCCGGCCGUUAAACAGCCUUACAAAACCCAAGGUUGACCUCGGAUCAGGUAGGAAGACCCGCUGAACUUAAGC
This 306-nucleotide unclassified non-coding RNA is filed under the name plant metagenome. RNAcentral's name for it is "partial contains 5.8S ribosomal RNA, internal transcribed spacer 2, and large subunit ribosomal RNA". The stretch from base 1 to 105 matches the Rfam family "5.8S ribosomal RNA", at positions 50 to 154 of the family's 154-position model. The record is from RNAcentral.